GCCCUACGGGGGGCAGCAGUGAGAAAUAUUGGUCAAUGGACGAGAGUCUGAACCAGCCAAGUAGCGUGAAGGAUGACUGCCCUAUGGGUUGUAAACUUCUUUUAUAUGGGAAUAAAACAGGGUAUGCAUACCCUCUUGUAUGUACCAUAUGAAUAAGGAUCGGCUAACUCCGUGCCAGCAGCCGCGGUAAUACGGAGGAUGCGAGCGUUAUCCGGUUUUAUUGGGUUUAAAGGGUGCGUAGGCGGGAUGCCAAGUCAGCGGUAAAAAUGCGGUGCUCCACGACGCCGAGCCGUUGA
This 296-nucleotide ribosomal RNA is filed under the name uncultured bacterium. RNAcentral's name for it is "partial 16S ribosomal RNA". It matches the Rfam family "Bacterial small subunit ribosomal RNA", at positions 335 to 630 of the family's 1533-position model. The record is from RNAcentral.